This 215-nucleotide unclassified non-coding RNA is filed under the name uncultured bacterium. Its description in RNAcentral is "contains 16S-23S intergenic spacer region". The record is from RNAcentral.
CUGGGAUCCGACCUACGAGAUCGAGGGGGAUGAUGUCUUCAGCGCCAUCUUCUAUGGCCUGGGCGCCGACGGAACCGUCGGAGCGAACAAGAAUACCAUUGAGAUCCUGGCGGAAGAUCCUGCCAUUCACGCCCAGGGCUACUUCGUAUACGACUCCAAAAAGUCCGGAUCGCGCACGGUCUCUCACAUCCGGUUCGGCCCCUCUCCCAUCCGCG